GUCUAUGGCCAUACCACCCUGAACACGCCCGAUCUCGUCUGAUCUCAGAAGCUAAGCAGGAUCGGACCUGGUUAGUACUUGGAUGGAAGAUCUGUAUGCAAAUAUUCAUAGAAG
This 114-nucleotide ribosomal RNA is filed under the name Chinchilla lanigera (long-tailed chinchilla). The record is from RNAcentral. Lineage: Eukaryota; Metazoa; Chordata; Mammalia; Rodentia; Chinchillidae.